RNAcentral lists this long non-coding RNA (226 nucleotides) under Mytilus galloprovincialis (Mediterranean mussel). The record is from RNAcentral. Lineage: Eukaryota; Metazoa; Mollusca; Bivalvia; Mytilida; Mytilidae.
CGUGCUGUUGUUUUAAAAAUAUUUUGUUUAUUAUUGUAUUAAUUUGUGUGUUUUGUAUUUUUCAUAGUUGCAUUUAGUGUGCCAAAAAAUAUGAAAACUUGACGUUCGUGACGUCACAUACCAAAUGAAAACUUGACGUUCGUGACGUCACAUACAAUAUGAAAACUUGACGUUCGUGACGUCACAUACCAAACAAUGACGUCAUUCAAAAAAUUUACAUAUUUUG